Molecule: ribosomal RNA, 465 nt
Filed under: uncultured bacterium
Lineage: Bacteria
Description: partial 16S ribosomal RNA
Rfam family: Bacterial small subunit ribosomal RNA
Source: RNAcentral
GACGAACGCUGGCGGCGUGCUUAACACAUGCAAGUCGAACGGAAAGGCCCCUUUGGGGGUACUCGAGUGGCGAACGGGCGGGUAACACGUGAGUAACCUGCACUUUACUUCGGGAUAACUUCAAGCAACUGGGGCCAAUACCGGAUAGGAAUCAUUACUGCAUGGUGGGGGUUGGAAAGCUUCGGCGGUUUUGGAUGGACUCGCGGCUUAUCAGCUUGUGGGUGGGGUAGUGGCUUACCCAGGCUUUGGCGGGUAGCCGGCCUGAGAGGGCGAGCGGCCACCUUGGCACCUAGGUACGGCCCCGGCUGCUACGGGUGGCAGCAGUGGGGAAUCUUGCACAAUGGGCGGCAGCCUGAUGCAGCAACGCCGCGUGCUGGAUGACGGCCUUCUGGUUGUAAACCGCUUUCAGCAGGGGCGAAGCUUGUGGUGACGGUACCUGCAGAAGAAGCACCGGCUAACUACGUG